CAAUACACCAUACCACUUUGAAAACACGAGUUCUCGUCCGAUCACUAGAGUUAAGCAAUUUUGGACCUGGUUAGUACUUACAGUGGCGGCCGGAUUUUAGUGUUGG
RNAcentral lists this ribosomal RNA (106 nucleotides) under Trichobilharzia regenti. The record is from RNAcentral. Lineage: Eukaryota; Metazoa; Platyhelminthes; Trematoda; Strigeidida; Schistosomatidae.